RNAcentral lists this long non-coding RNA (1009 nucleotides) under Equus asinus (donkey). Its description in RNAcentral is "lncRNA (ENSEASG00005024655.1)". Lineage: Eukaryota; Metazoa; Chordata; Mammalia; Perissodactyla; Equidae. The record is from RNAcentral.
AGGGUGGCCCCAGUUGACACUCACCAAGAAAACAGGACCACAGUCCUACAACCAUAUAGAUGAAUUCAGCUAACAACCAAAUGACUCUGGAAAUAAAUUCUUCUCUGGAGCCUCCAGAAGGGAACACAGCCCUGCUGACACCUUGGUUCCAGUCUUCCGAGACUUGAAGCAGAGAAACCAGUGGAGCCCACCAGAUUUCUAACCUACAGAAUCAGGUUAAUUGUAAGUCUGGGUGUGUCUUGUUACCAAGAUGGCAUGUGGAAACCAUUCAAGAAAUAUUUACCAUUCGAAUAAAGCUGGAAAGAAAAAGAAAAAAAGAGACGGAAAAGAGAAAAAAAAGAGAAAUAUUUACCACACAAGAAAUCAAGGUCUCCUACGAUGUUUUAUCCCUGAAGUCAGACUGGUGGUGUGGAAACGUGUGUCUCCCCACUCCCGUGACAUGUUUGAACAGGAGAACCGUGCUCAUCAGGGUCACUCUUUAGUCGCAAAAAAAGAGAAAAUAUUGACUUUCAUCCUCAUAUUUAGUUGGUGUAUCGAGAAUCACAGGACUUUCUGAUACCAGCGUCAAUGUGGUCAUCUAUCUGGAAGUGUUCCUCCCUCAUUCUCUUUCAACAAGGAUCUUUGGUAUUUGUUUAGCAGUGUGGCGAUAGAAAUCUUGAGGACAUACGGAAGAAAUGGUGAUAGUUUGCUUACAAAAACCAAAUGGAGAGAAUUAACUACGGAGAAAGCUCAAGAACUCUCCUCUUUUAAUUGACUCUCCCUUCUACAAGGAGGAAUUCUAUCCAAGGACAAAAUAAUGUAAGUUUGACAGGAGUGUCCUCUAAGGUAUCUAAUAUUCAUGAAUCUAGACCAGCUAAUAAAUUCUCUUUAUUGUGUAAGCUAGUUUGAAAUUGAUUCUAUCAACUAAUAAGUUCUCUCUAAUUCAAAAGGUUAGCGUGAAGAUCAUUUGAAUGAUAUAGUGAAAUUGCCCAGCACUGUGAUUACUUAAAAAAUAUUAUUUUCUUUUUUC